RNAcentral lists this ribosomal RNA (505 nucleotides) under uncultured Staphylococcus sp. RNAcentral describes it as "bacterial SSU rRNA". It matches the Rfam family "Bacterial small subunit ribosomal RNA", at positions 61 to 548 of the family's 1533-position model. Lineage: Bacteria; Bacillati; Bacillota; Bacilli; Caryophanales; Staphylococcaceae. The record is from RNAcentral.
GUCGAGCGAACGGACGAGAAGCUUGCUUCUCUGAUGUUAGCGGCGGACGGGUGAGUAACACGGGGAUAACCUACCUAUAAGACUGGGAUAACUUCGGGAAACCGGAGCUAAUACCGGAUGAUAUUUUGAACCGCAUGGUUCAAAAGUGAAAGACGGUCUUGCUGUCACUUAUAGAUGGAUCCGCGCUGCAUUAGCUAGUUGGUAAGGUAACGGCUUACCAAGGCAACGAUGCAUAGCCGACCUGAGAGGGUGAUCGGCCACACUGAAACUGAGACACGGUCCAGACUCCUACGGGAGGCAGCAGUAGGGAAUCUUCCGCAAUGGGCGAAAGCCUGACGGAGCAACGCCGCGUGAGUGAUGAAGGUCUUCGGAUCGUAAAACUCUGUUAUUAGGGAAGAACAUAUGUGUAAGUAACUGUGCACAUCUUGACGGUACCUAAUCAGAAAGCCACGGCUAACUACGUGCCAGCAGCCGCGGUAAUACGUAGGUGGCAAGCGUUAUCCGG